CCAGGAUAAGGAGUUAAAUUCAGUAAUAUCAUGAUGGUUAUAGCAUCAUCUGUCAUAAAGGGGUUAUUAAUAACGCCCAACAGUCUGGUACUGAAUGCAAGGCUACGUCCAGGAAGGAUGCAGAGAGAAAGACGACCGUUCUGAGUUAUUUGUCAGUUGUCCUGGUUUUCAGAGUCACGGGAGGAAAUGCAUUUAGUAAACAACACAUGUUCGAUGUAUCACAAACACAGUUGCUUGAUAGAUGCUGCUCUGAUCACAUGCAGUGCUACUGGAUGAUAUUAAAAUACAUGUCACUUGCCCCCAUGUGCUUAGAUGACAGGUCCGUCAUGACCCAUUCAUAGAUUCUUUCUUCCCAGACUUGAGAUGUAAA
Non-coding RNA from Pelobates cultripes (western spadefoot toad), 370 nucleotides. The record is from the annotation of a GenBank genome assembly. NCBI's taxonomy places the organism in Eukaryota, Metazoa, Chordata, Amphibia, Anura, Pelobatidae.